Molecule: transfer RNA, 90 nt
Filed under: Planctomycetota bacterium
Lineage: Bacteria; Pseudomonadati; Planctomycetota
Description: Planctomycetes bacterium tRNA-Ser
Rfam family: tRNA
About the family: Transfer RNA (tRNA) molecules are approximately 80 nucleotides in length. Their secondary structure includes four short double-helical elements and three loops (D, anti-codon, and T loops).
Source: RNAcentral
GGAGGGUUGCCGGAGCGGCCGAACGGACCGGUUUUGAAAACCGGCGUCCCCGCGAGGGGACCGGGGGUUCGAAUCCCUCACCCUCCGCCA